Ribosomal RNA from Chlorocebus sabaeus (green monkey), 123 nucleotides. Lineage: Eukaryota; Metazoa; Chordata; Mammalia; Primates; Cercopithecidae. The record is from Rfam.
GCCUAUGGCCAUACACCCUGAACGUGCCCAGUCUCAUCUGAUCUCGGAAGCUAAGCAAGGUUGGGCCUGGUUAGUACUUGGAUGGAAAACCUCACAUUCUGGCAUUCUAGGUGGACACAUGUU